Molecule: long non-coding RNA, 270 nt
Organism: Amphimedon queenslandica
Lineage: Eukaryota; Metazoa; Porifera; Demospongiae; Haplosclerida; Niphatidae
Exons: 3
Source: RefSeq, a predicted model, not a curated record
UUAUUAUAUUUAUUAUUUUCAGAGGAUACCUUAUUCUACAGCUGGUUUCUACACUGGAAAGAAGCCACAGAAGAAUGAAGCAACAUUGAGUGACUCCCUCAAUGAUAUUGAUAUUAAUAAAGAAUGUGAUGAUACAUCAACUGAACAAAGCAUUAGCAGUAAAGAAGACAGAGAGAAAGAAAGAGAACAAGAUGGUGAUAAAGAUACAGCACUAACUAAUGACAGUCUUGAGGAACAAAUAGAAGAAGAGGAGGAGGAGGAGGAAAGAGG